UCGGGAAUUUUGGGCAAUGGGCGAAAGCCUGACCCAGCAACGCCGCGUGAGGGAUGAAGUAUUUCGGUAUGUAAACCUCGAAAGAAUGGGAAGAAUAAAUGACGGUACCAUUUAUAAGCUCCGGCUAACUACGUGCCAGCAGCCGCGGUAAUACGUAGGGAGCAAGCGUUGUUCGGAUUUACUGGGCGUAAAGGGCGCGUAGGCGGCGCGGUAAGUCACUUGUGAAAUCUCUGAGCUUAACUCAGAACGGCCAAGUGUUACUGCUGUGCUAGAGUGCGGAAGAGGCAACCGGAAUUCUUGGUGUAGCGGUGAAAUGCGUAGAUAUCAGGAGGAACACCUGAGGCGAAGGCGGGUUGCUGGGCCGACACUGACGCUGAUGCGCGAAAGCCAGGGGAGCAAACG
RNAcentral lists this ribosomal RNA (402 nucleotides) under uncultured bacterium. RNAcentral describes it as "bacterial SSU rRNA". It matches the Rfam family "Bacterial small subunit ribosomal RNA", at positions 355 to 774 of the family's 1533-position model. The record is from RNAcentral.